Molecule: ribosomal RNA, 460 nt
Filed under: uncultured bacterium
Lineage: Bacteria
Description: partial 16S ribosomal RNA
Rfam family: Bacterial small subunit ribosomal RNA
Source: RNAcentral
CCUACGGGAGGCAGCAGUGAGGAAUAUUGGUCAAUGGACGAGAGUCUGAACCAGCCAAGUAGCGUGAAGGAUGACUGCCCUAUGGGUUGUAAACUUCUUUUAUAUGGGAAUAAAAUGUUCCACGUGUGGGAUUUUGUAUGUACCAUAUGAAUAAGGAUCGGCUAACUCCGUGCCAGCAGCCGCGGUAAUACGGAGGAUCCGAGCGUUAUCCGGAUUUAUUGGGUUUAAAUGGAGCGUAGGUGGAUUGUUAAGUCAGUUGUGAAAGUUUGCGGCUCAACCGUAAAAUUGCAGUUGAAACUGGCAGUCUUGAGUACAGUAGAGGUGGGCGGAAGUCGUGGUGUAGCGGUGAAAUGCUUAGAUAUCACGAAGAACUCCGAUUGCGAAGGCAGUUCACUGGACUGCAACUGACACUGAGGCUCGAAAGUGUGGGUAUCAAACAGGAUGAGAUACCCUUGUAGUC